This is a long non-coding RNA of Fukomys damarensis (Damara mole-rat), 7043 nucleotides long. RefSeq lists it as uncharacterized. The transcript is spliced from 3 exons. The record is from RefSeq and is a predicted model, not a curated record. Lineage: Eukaryota; Metazoa; Chordata; Mammalia; Rodentia; Bathyergidae.
UGACUCUGAUCUUCCUGCUUCCCUCCAAUAAGGAACCCUGUGAUCACACUGAGCUCACCUACAUAAUCCAAGAUAAUUUCCCCAUUGUAAAAUUCUUAGUCUCAUCUGCAAAAUCUCCUUUGCCAUAUAAGGUAACACAAUCACAGAUGCUGAGAACUAAGAAGUAGACAUAUAUAAGGGUCAUUAUGCAGCCAGUCACAGGAUCCAAGUGUCAGGGCACAAAAAUGAAAAUGGCUUUGCAGGCUAUACAGACAAAAGUAAGUCAAGUUUCUUAUCUAAAGGCCAGAAAGCAAACUGUAUUUGAGUCUCCGGAAAUACCUAGCCAGAAUUCUUUUUCUGCUCCUUUUGGUAUUGAAAUAUUUUGGGGGCAUGGAAAUGAUCCUGACAGUAGACAGCUACUGCUUGCCCUCUGUAACUUCAUGCACAGAAUUUCAGUUCAUCAGAGGAUAAAGAGACCUCCAUACUCUUUAUUUACAACCACUUUCUUCCAGGGGGAAAAAGAAAAGAAUGCAGGAAGCAAAGUGGCCUGGUGAAACAAGCACAAAAUUUGACAUGAGAGGUAUUUUGACUUUCAUCUCAGCUGGCUUUUUACCAAUUGUCCAAUUCAGGCCAAGUCUGUGCCUACUUCACAGAGCUGUUCUAAAUUUCACAGAAUGUGGUUUUUUCCCUCAGGUCAUGGCACAUAGCCAGUCCUCCCCUUAUGCCCAAGCCCAUUCCAAUCAGGGAAUUCAGAAGGGCUUUUCAGAAAGAAUCAAACAGCCUUUGUGGUGCCAGAGAACCAGCCAGGUGUAUCUGUGGAACAGAGUAACUGGCAGCUGAAGCCAAAGGCUAAGAAGUACCUGAAUACUAAAUCGGGGUCAGGAUGCAUGUGGAGCAGAGAUUAAUGAAUGCUAAGAGCCAACAGACAGAAGAAGCCCUGGGAAGAAUUUCCUGCUUGGACCAGGAGAGGGACAGCCAAGCACAGUUGAAAAUAAAGGCCCAGUCUAUUUGCUGACAACAGGUGUGAUGAGCCAAGUAGAACAGAGAAGAGAUGCCCAAUCCCCUGCACAAGAUGGACACUAGAUGGAGAAAAGGAGCCAGAACACAGAUAACACUUGGAGAAUUGUUCAUCAGCACAUUUUUGUUGUUAUUAAUCCCAAAUUUCCGAGGUCCAGAGACACUUAUAUGACAACCCACAACCUGUGCAUUUGAACACUGAGACCUGGAUAACUAUGAGUAUAUGAAAUAGGGCAGGGGUAGUGAAUCUGUGGCACAUUUGCUGCAGCAGGCAUAUGCUUAUUAUCAUUGAAAUCUCUUAAAGGUUCUUGAUGAUUGACAAAGGGGAAAUCAGUAAAGGCAGAAAAUACUCUUGCUCUGGCACUGGUUUGGAGAGAAAGAAAGAAAGAAAGAACUAGGAGAAGCAGAUAACUAAGUCCAUAUGUCCUGAUCAGCUUUCUAUAGGACUAAGUUCCCAGGAGUGAAGGAUGUGGAGAGCCCAAAGUACAAAUGUUUUCCAGAUCCUUAUCUGGAGCCCUGGAAAGAGAUCAUGGUUCAGGGAGACCCAGAAACACCAAAGGGAUUGGAGAGCUAUAGAGUAUUAGCUAUUACUAGCUAUUAUUAACUAAUAGAGCAUUAGUUGUUUGACAAAGUACCUGAAAUAAAUAAGGAAAGAAAGAUGUAUUUUGGCUCUUUUCGGGGUUUUGGUCCACAAUCACUUAGCUUUAUUGACAUAGGCCCAUAGCAAGGCAGAUCGUAAUGGUGGGGAACAGAGAACAGAGCAAAGAUGCUCACCUGGCAGAGGCUGGGAAGCAGAAAGAGAGAAAUGAAGGAACCAGAGAAAAAAUAUGGACUUAGGAGAAAGCCCCAAGGGCCAACUUUCUUCAAACAAGCACGACUUCCUAGUUCCUACUGCUUCCCAAUAACCCAUUAAAUUAAGAAUCCAUCAGGGAAUAAAUCCAUUGAAAAAGUUGUACCUCUUAUAAUCCUAUCAUCUUCCAAAGGCUCCAGUUAUGCUAUGGUUACCUUGAGGACUGACCAUUUCAGAGGCAUUCAGACCCAAACCACAAUCAUACAAAAGCAGCAGUGAAGGAGGUGUCAGUACAUCCACCUGAGACUCACUCCUGGUUUCCAAAAGCAAGGAUGUGUGCCCAAGGAUGUGUACCUCACGGGAGAUGCAGAAAACCACUGGAAUCAAGUUUAGUUAUGUGCAGCCUAGAAGAUGGUACCAAGCUGUUCUUUCUCUUUUGCAUUCAGAGGUGCUGCAUAAAUCACAUAAGUCUGCCUGUCAGGUACAUUAACAGUGUCCCCCCUCUAUCUCCCUCUUUUUCCUCAAAGUAUCCUCCAACCUCUUUACAUCUCUACCCCUUAAUUGGCUACAGUGCUCAGAAGUGCCAUCAGUUUUUCCCUUUAUUGUCAUUGAGAUCUGAAAAACUUUGCGGUGAAGAAAAGAGCCAAGAUAAAUCUGAGAUUCUGGAGAUCCCACCCAAGGGGAAAAACAUUAAAUGAAAUAAUGAAAUGACAGUUCCCCCGUUCACUGUCAUCAGUGACAAAUUUUACAAGUACUUAAUUUAUCCCCUAAUGUUGGUCACUAUCAAAAACUUUAGUGAAUAACACAGUGAUGUCUGUUUCUUUUCCUCUCAAGGACUCAUGUUGUAUUUCCACAGAUAUGGAAAGGUAAGUGUUGAGAAUAAAACCCCACCCUCACCAUUAUUUCCUCUGCUUCUUCUAGUAAUUAUAGUGAAGAGAUUAGAAUCUUGUGGGAAAUGACCAAACACUGGAAUGCCAAGAUUGGUGAAGUAAGAAAAACUUCUAGAGAUAUGAAAAGGAAACACAACAGGAAUGUGACACGAGAGACCACCAAGGAGUCUGUGGGAAAAUCUAAUGCCUGUGGACUUGGGGCUUCUCAGUGACUCCCAGACCAUAGACGUGAUGGUUCUACCUUGUGAUAUGCUUAUCAGCCACUCCCUUGGUCAGCAAGCUAGAUGUGUGGGGGGAGGAGGAAAGUGUUUUCAACUUCUUCCUCUGGGAGGCAGAACAGACCCUGAGUUUUAAUUCCUCUUCUCCUUCCCAGUUGCUUUCAGUCCCUUCCCACAAGAACAGAGAAGUGCAUACUUCUGUCCAUGACACCUGCCCAUGGUCUCCAGUGACGCCACAGCCUUGAAGAGAAAGACUCACAAGAGUGAGGGAAGCCCUUGUUAACCUAAGAACUGAAGGAACAAUUAAAAGUUGGGAGAAAGUGUUUAUCCCCCCAGGGAACUUGGGACAGGAGAGAGCUGGCAUUGCAGAGGAGCUGUGGGUGGGGGGAGAAUGAGACAAGAACUCUCCAAGAGCAAGUAAUUACUCUCUGGGGAUUCCUGGGCUCUGAAAAGUUCUCAGCCAAGACUGACAAAGUAAAGUCACCCAGGAAGAGGAGGGGAACCAGCCUCAAUGGCUUCCUAGGCUAUGUGCUGCCUCCCCAUCCAAAAUGAAUCCUGUGCAUGAGUUGAGCACUCAUCCUUGAUGAGUCCCCCCACAGGGAGAGUUGAGAAGGGUUGAGGGUGUGGAGGGUGAUCUUUGUGUGAUGCCAGGGCUGUUUUAGACGCUCUAGUGUGCCUCUCACUGGUUGUCUUGGAAGCUCUUUGAAUUUCUCCCAUGACAGAUAAGAUGUAGCUCAUUGUGUUCAAGUCACUCAGUGGAGUCCUCACUCUUGGUCAGUAAGUCAAUCAACAGUCUAACUGAGAUGCUUUGUAUAUGUAAAUACAUACUUCCAAAAGUAAAGAAUAGAAGUCAAAAAACUGAAUGCUAUUUUCUUAGUCAUCUGGCACCUGUAUUGUGUUGGAGAUAAGAAGGAAUGGAGAAGGGUUGGGAUUGGUAUAAGAGCCAAAGAUAUAGACUUCCGCAUUCUCUUGAAAAAGAACUUGGUGAAUAUUAUCAGCCAACAAGGAGCAUGACUCCUAUGUAACUAAGGCAGGAUUGGACCCUAGUCUGCUAAAACCCUUGGUAUUAGGGAGCAUCCCAGUCAAAUAAUUAUCAGGAAAGGAAGGAGGCUUAUGUAUCUGAAAGCCACAUGCAUUUCAGUCUUAUCCCAAACGCUUUUCCCAUUUCUGCUGGUACAGCCCAUUGCCCUAGUCCCUUAAUCUCCAAAUUUCAAGUCCUAUCUCUUGGCACCACCCUUAAACAAUUGUGUGUGUGUGAUCUGAAUCCUUUGGUCCUAAAAUCCACUAACUCUUAAUAUUUUUUGGCCUACACUUCCUCUAGUUUUAUAUACUGAGUGAUCAAAAACCAAAGAAUUUUCUCUUUCUUUUGUAAAGCCUUAUAGUUUAUCUGUGUGUAUUCACUCAACACAAAUCUUAAGAGCUAUAAGAAUUGUUCAAGUUUACUUAGCCUAACUUGCUCUUCUGCAGUUGAAGAAAGUGGCUUCCAUAUAUAGCAGUUUACUCAAGAAUACAUAAAUGAUUUCUUAAUACAGGCUGAACCUCAGCUGUCCUUAUCUUAGUGUACCUUAAUCUGUAUCAACACUUCAACGAGCAAAGGCACUGGUUAUUUCUCUCUUCCACUUUACUAUUUCUGUGUAUCUGAUUCACCACUGACAUAAUCAGACUGGAUGUCUCCAGCUGCAGAAUGAUUAUCUAGUUUCCUCUGAGCUCUCUCUGAUGAGGUUAUGGUGUCUCACCCUCUUCUUCCUGCCAGGCCAAGCUCUUGGACAAGGACACAUGACAAUAUGGGUCCCAAUUUACACCAGCAACUGACAGUUUAUGAUACUUUUAAAAAAUGGAAUGAAAAUAUCUAAUUAUGAUAAAGGCUACCUAAAAAUUAAAAGUUUAUAACAUCUCAAUAAAAACAUCAAAACUGUAUUGGUAUAAAAGAGUGGAGAGUUUGUUCUGUGUGCAGAGCAUGGUCCUAUACAGUGUUUUUCAAACACCUAAGAAGAAUUUCUAUGGUUAAGUUAAUUAGAUGGUUUAGUUGAUACAAUUGCAAAAGAGCUUUAUGUCACAUGUUCUAUUGACCUACAAAGCACCUAUUUAUAUUGUUUCUUGUCUGCAUAUCAUUGGACAUAAUUUGCUUCUAUUAUGCAAACUUGCUCAGUAUAGUAACAAAAGUUCUCAAUUUUUACUCUUCUUACAAAGGACAUUUAUAUUCAUUUGUUCAUCUGAUUUCACUCAAAAUAUGAUGAGGUAGUGCAAUUAUCAUUCAUGCAUUUCAGAGGAAGAAGCUAAGCCUCAGGAACUUGCCCAUAACAAGGUAAGGAGGGAAGUGAAUUAGGACAUGGAUUCCUUGACUUCUCAUUGCGAGCUUUUUCUGCUCACACAGUGUGCUUCUCUAUAAGGCAACACAGCUGCCUCGAGCCUCCUGUCUAAGAUUCCACAGAUGCCUCCCUUUCUAGGCCACAUCCACUCAGCACUCCCCCCAGCCUCUCAUUGUGAGAGAUGAGAAAUGAAUACAGGCUUGAACCUUGUUUCAGCUUGAUCCAUGCACAUCUGACAGGCAAAUCACCUUACCCAUGUUCCUUGGUUCCCUCAUUUAGAAAAUGAAAGAGAUGGAAUGUUUGGUUUCUAUGGGUCUAUUCACUUCUUGCAGUUUUGAUCACUUUCUGGAGGGACUAUUGAUCCCUGACACCAACUCUGAGGGUGAGGAUUGCAUCUACAGUACAAAGUGGCCUACAGAUGGCAGCAGAUCCAAACUGAGUUACUCCUUUGCCUACUCAAGGGCAAGGCUCCGUGGGCAGCCACUGGCUCCCUGGCCAGUACUCAGAGUCCCAGCCACCUGCUCCCUGAGUUCUGACCCCACAACCUAAUCUCCACCCAGGAGAAUCCAAAGCCAGUUUCUAAGGUGACACCUUCUGGCCACCACAGGACAGAGCUGAUGGAAAGCAGGAGACUCUGGCUCCUUUCAGGCAUUCUGCUGUCUCCCUCCACGAUGAGAAAUCCAGCAACUAUUUCUAGCCAAGAGAACCCUCAACUGACUUACGCUUUUCAGUCUCUUGCAUUUGAUUUUGUUGUUCUGCUCUGUGUGCCUUAACACUGAUGUAUUGUAUUUGUCCUGUUUGAUUCUAGUGAUUUGCACAAAUGUGCUCUGGUUGGCUUCCUGCAGAUUUUUACCAAGGACGAAUUUUUAAAAUUUAUUUGAUUAUGUGGCACUGCUGAUAUUCUACACACAAAUUCUUCACUUUGAAAGAUGAGGUUACCUAGAGUUUGGUUCAAAAGCAUAAUACCUUAUAUCAUCAACAUAUUUUUCCAUAAAUGAAAAUAUUUACCAAUUAAAUUUUCUAACAGCCAAACAUCUGCCUAGAAGUUAUAUUGCUAUUAAGAAAAACUGAUGGUCCUUAAUACAAUGUUUCUAGAGAACCAGUAAGCAAGCUGGGAGGGAGAAGACCCAAUGUCACCCUGACUGAACAAAAUCCACACAGUUUGAAAUUAAGUCCUUAACCAUCACUUGAUGUUCAGUAGUUGAACAUGAAUGUCACUGUUUUCCAGAUACUCUUAGUACAUCCUUUUUAAACAUUUUGUUGAAUAUCUAAAAAUUCACUUCCCUCUCAGUAUAUGAAGUGUACCCUACUGAGAAGUAAGAAAUAGCUACAGUGAUAAUGUAAUUACACAGCUUCAAAUUUAAUUAGCCAAGUAUUAACCUUGCUCUUCUCCCUGUUAGCAUAAUUACUUUAACUGAUAUUUUAGUAAUUAUUAAUUUAAUCUCUAUCUCUUGUUAAAUUAUAACAACCAAGGUAAUCAAGACCCAUGCGUAUCUCCCUUUGUGGCUCACAGUCAGGUACCAGGAGUCUAGCUCAGUUCCUGACACACAACAGCACCAUGGGUCGAAUGGAUGUAAGUUGCAUCUGGACUGAUGGUGAAAUGAGAAGACGUGACAGGACUCCUUUCUAAACAGUGAGGAAGACUGAACCCAAGAAAGCACGAAGAGCAAAUGAAUGCAGACUUCAGAAAUGACAUCCACAACUUCAGGGUCCCCUGUUGUUUCCGUGUAUCUGGCCACAACACUGUACCUACAUCUAUCCCACACUGAAGGAUCCUUCCUUUCUUUCCUAUUGUCCAUAUUUCUUCUUAACUUUCUAAUUUUCCAGCUUUCUUUGCUUU